Molecule: ribosomal RNA, 510 nt
Filed under: uncultured crenarchaeote
Lineage: Archaea; Thermoproteati; Thermoproteota
Description: bacterial SSU rRNA
Rfam family: Archaeal small subunit ribosomal RNA
Source: RNAcentral
AACCUCUGCAAUGACACGAAAGCGCGACAGGGGUCACCCCGAGUGCUAUCCGAUGAAGAUAGCUUUUCCUUAGUGUAGUAAGCUAAGGGAAUAAGCGGAGGGCAAGCCUGGUGUCAGCCGCCGCGGUAAUACCAGCUCCUCGAGUGGUCGGGGUGAUUAUUGGGCCUAAAGCGUCCGUAGCCGGCCUAUCAAGUCUUUGGUUAAACCUCAAGGCUCAACCUUGAGAUUGCUGGAGAUACUGUUAGGCUAGGGGGCGGGAGAGGUUGAGGGUACUUCCCGGGUAGGGGUGAAAUCCUAUAAUCCGGGAAGGACCACCAGUGGCGAAGGCGCUCAACUGGAACGCGCCCGACGGUGAGGGACGAAAGCCAGGGGAGCAAAGGGGAUUAGAUACCCCGGUAGUCCUGGCUGUAAACGAUGCGGGCUAGGUGUUGGGUUGGCUUCGUGCCAACCCGGUGCCGCAGUGAAGACUGAUAAGCCCGCCGCCUGGGAAGUACGCCCGCAUGAACCCCC